This 253-nucleotide ribosomal RNA is filed under the name uncultured bacterium. RNAcentral's name for it is "partial 16S ribosomal RNA". It matches the Rfam family "Bacterial small subunit ribosomal RNA", at positions 524 to 776 of the family's 1533-position model. The record is from RNAcentral.
UACGUAGGUGGCAAGCGUUGUCCGGAUUCACUGGGUGUAAAGGGCGCGCAGGCGGCUUUGUAAGUCCGAGGUGAAAUCUCACGGCUUAACCGUGAAACUGCCUUUGAUACUGCGGAUCUUGAGUUAGAGAGAGGUUGAUGGAAUUCCAGGUGUAGCGGUGAAAUGCGUAGAUAUCUGGAGGAACACCGGUGGCGAAGGCGGCAUCCUGGACCGGUAUUGACGCUGAGGCGCGAAAGCCAGGGGAGCAAACGGG